This is a long non-coding RNA of Girardinichthys multiradiatus, 669 nucleotides long. RefSeq lists it as uncharacterized. The record is from RefSeq and is a predicted model, not a curated record. NCBI's taxonomy places the organism in Eukaryota, Metazoa, Chordata, Actinopteri, Cyprinodontiformes, Goodeidae. The transcript has 4 exons.
UCAAACCAUGGCAAAAUGUAUUUGCCUUUUGAUCUGGGCUUCUCAGAAAUUUUCCCCCAAAAUGUGUUGAUUCACAGCAUUCAGUCUGCUGUGUAUAACACUGCAUGUGGUUGUAUUGUCUUCUUUUCAGACACAGUCUUCACUAUAUUUGCCAGGUCAUCAUAAAGCUCCCACACACAUGGAGCUCUUCGGCAGUAUGCAAUGUAAUGUCCCAGACCAUCUUUAGUCAAGCUUCCCUUGAAAGCGAUGACUCCUCUCAAAGAGAAUGUCUUUCCUUGGAGAGCAACAAUGGGGGGAAAUUCACUCAAAGGAAACUGAGUUGUGUUUGCAAGUGGGCGAAGGCAGGGAGACUCCGGAAGGAAGAGUCCGUUUUCCACUGAAAUGUCAAGCUGAGCCAUGCCAGAGUCCAUCAGCACAGAAAUGUCAGGAGAAACAAAUGUGGCUGAGCUUGCUGUGAGGUUGGUGCUUUUGAAGAGGGGGACCAUUACUCCUGUCCAAAGUGAUAUUUUUUGCACAUCUCUGAUUCGAGAGGGACUCCAGAACUAUCAUCACCCUCUGCCUCACUGAGGGCCACAACAGUGAUGGCAUGUAUUAGCUGUUUUGCAUGGUCCAAGCACUGUGAUUGAAGAAGCUUUGCUAUUGCCCUGACAAAGAAAUCUUUGACAUGGU